AGAGCCUGCGCAGUUCCCCUCAAAGCCAGGGGCUCUAGGGACGUUGUGUCCAGAAUGUCUGUGGGUUUUGCCACAGCCACACAUGAAAGCCCGAGGUAAGGAAAUCAGCCUAUAACGGGGAAGAGCAGCUUACCUGUGAAGGUGAGGAUGAAAUCUGCAUUAAUACUUCUGUCCUGCCAGCUACAGGCAUAUGGAUGGGUCUGCCAGGGGCUAAUGCGCACAACUCAAUACUCUUCAGACAUUCAUCGAGUACCUCCCAGGCUGGGUGAUGGACUGGAUCUGAGAACCAGGAGAGUCACCCUGAAGCCGAUGGUUGAAACAUCUCUGCAGCUGCUGGCACAGGUCUCGGGAUGGGAUGUCUCUGCUUCGCCAGACUGCCUGCUCCCCCGUAGAUGAGUCCCUGGAGGAGUUCGGGCUCAUGGCCCCUCGGACGCAAACCAUUAAGCCACGCUGCAGCAUAAAGGACCAGAAAGGUGAAGCCUGAUGCCACCGUCUCUGCCUUCCUUGGGGUGGGACUGGGGUGCGCCUGGGGUGCUAUCUGUGGAAUCAAUGGGCUCUUAGAGGAGGGACUUGGCAUGUUGACUAAAGAAAUUCUUCUUAGGGGAAUGUGAUUCAUUUUAUUAUACUGGGAGAUAUAGAAAUGCAUAUGAAUGGGCAAUUUUAUCGCUUGUUUUGAGCAUGACGCUUUAUUAGAGUAGUGGGUGGGCUGUGUUGUACCCAUUACCCGCUGUUAACAGU
Molecule: long non-coding RNA, 738 nt
Filed under: Sus scrofa (pig)
Lineage: Eukaryota; Metazoa; Chordata; Mammalia; Artiodactyla; Suidae
Description: lncRNA (ENSSSCG00070002751.1)
Source: RNAcentral